UUCAGGCUGUUAGGCAGAAAUAAAAAUAUGUAUAACUCUCAUACCAUUGGAAGUUGAUGUCAUUUCUGCUGUUAGCGCAAGUGAAGCAAUAAAAAUUAAAUUGUUAGUACUAUACUUGCUAGACGGAUUUCCAGUUUCUAUGUCAUCACAUCGACAAUGGAAGUUUCCUGCUGCAGUGGAAAUAGUUUCAAGCUAUAAAAAUUUGACAUAUCUAGGGGAAGUAUUGACCCAAUUUUAUCCGUUACUACCACAAAGACACACAGAGGGAACAGUACCAUCUCCGUAUUUCAAUUAAAUAUCUCAUACACAACGGUAAAUACAGUAUGAAGUUAGCCAAUAGCACUGUGGUCCACAUAUUUGGUAUUACGGAGCUUGAAAAGUUAUGAUCCGGUUUCGACAAUUUUUAGAUGUGAGAUGGCAUAACUUAGGAACAUUAUUUGUAUAAAAUGUAAUUUCUAUAAUGUCAUUGGCUCUUGACUUAUACAAUAUAAAAUAAAAUAAUGAAAUAAAAUUAUCA
Bactrocera oleae (olive fruit fly) is the source of this 517-nucleotide long non-coding RNA. RefSeq lists it as uncharacterized. The record is from RefSeq and is a predicted model, not a curated record. NCBI's taxonomy places the organism in Eukaryota, Metazoa, Arthropoda, Insecta, Diptera, Tephritidae.